RNAcentral lists this long non-coding RNA (693 nucleotides) under Pan troglodytes (chimpanzee). Its description in RNAcentral is "lincRNA". Lineage: Eukaryota; Metazoa; Chordata; Mammalia; Primates; Hominidae. The record is from RNAcentral.
CUCUGUUCACGGAAAGGGCCUGGGAGCUGCAACACCUCAACAGCAACAAGCACACCUGCUACCUAGAACUUGGUUUCUAAAAACCAUCCUCCUCUAAAAGGAAACAGAGCUCUUUGAAGAAAUGCAGAAGGUAAGCAUGAGCAAAUCACUUUUUAGAGGUAACUUUGCUGGACUUGUGAAGAAUGGUGUGCAAGGUCCAGAGCGACUGCAGGAGAGGGAAGGUGGGAUUCCCACAGAGCAGGAGCACAGAUGAGCCAAGCAAGGCCCUGCUUAGAAGGCAGCAAUCAACAGAGAUGCACAGACCUGUGAGGGUGCCGGGACAGCCAUGCAACAAUGCAGCCCUUUUGCUUCCUAAGGUCACCAGUUCCCUCGCUCCACCUCUGAGAGGUGGUUUGGAGAAACACAGCCCUUCUCAAGAGGGUUGCAAGCUACUUAAGUACUGAAAAUUUCCACAAGGCUGAGUCAAAUCUGCAUUUCAUCAUCUAUAAGAAAGGUACCUAUCGAGAACACCCUGCUGGCCAGUGUGUAAAUAUCUAAAGGAGGACUCAGAAAACACCGGGGAAGUCCAGCCUGCACGUGGUGGCUGGGCUUCAGUGAAGCAUGGAGCACAACAGGAGUUAGCAGCCAUGCACUGCCCAGGCUGGAAGUAUGCUCAACCACAAGGAUCAGGGCUGGGAGAGGCGCUUCGGUAGC